GAUCCUGUAGCUCAGUGGUAGAGCAUUUGACUUUUAAUCAAAGGGCCGUUGGUUCGAUCCCAACCAGGAUCA
RNAcentral lists this transfer RNA (72 nucleotides) under Pseudomonadota bacterium. RNAcentral's name for it is "tRNA-Lys". It matches the Rfam family "tRNA". From Rfam's summary of the family: Transfer RNA (tRNA) molecules are approximately 80 nucleotides in length. Their secondary structure includes four short double-helical elements and three loops (D, anti-codon, and T loops). The record is from RNAcentral. Lineage: Bacteria; Pseudomonadati; Pseudomonadota. RNAcentral also lists the same sequence under 1 other name.